RNAcentral lists this long non-coding RNA (242 nucleotides) under Gossypium raimondii (Peruvian cotton). RNAcentral's name for it is "long non-coding RNA (GRAI_LNC001551)". The record is from RNAcentral. Lineage: Eukaryota; Viridiplantae; Streptophyta; Magnoliopsida; Malvales; Malvaceae.
UCUAGGUCACGUGUUUGAACCUUUGGGUGUGUGUUUUUGAGAAAUAUUUUUAUUUUGUUAAGUAAUAAACUUGUUUGAAGUUUUAAAAAAUAAUUAUUAGUUUUAUUUUAUUAUUAUUUUUGUUUUGAACUACUUUCUUUUCACGUUCCCCUCUCCCUUUUCAUCUCUUUGUUUCUUUUUGUUUUUUUCUUUUUUCCUUUUCGAAAAAAAAACAGUUUUGCUUGUGGAUUUUGGAAAGCUUC